This 28-nucleotide non-coding RNA is filed under the name Homo sapiens (human). Lineage: Eukaryota; Metazoa; Chordata; Mammalia; Primates; Hominidae. The record is from RNAcentral.
UAAUGGGAGCCAGAAAUCCUCUAAGUGC